UGGGGAAUUUUGGACAAUGGGCGAAAGCCUGAUCCAGCAAUGCCGCGUGUGUGAAGAAGGCCUUCGGGUUGUAAAGCACUUUUGUCCGGAAAGAAAUGGCUCUGGUUAAUACCUGGGGUCGAUGACGGUACCGGAAGAAUAAGGACCGGCUAACUACGUGCCAGCAGCCGCGGUAAUACGUAGGGUCCAAGCGUUAAUCGGAAUUACUGGGCGUAAAGCGUGCGCAGGCGGUUGUGCAAGACCGAUGUGAAAUCCCCGAGCUUAACUUGGGAAUUGCAUUGGUGACUGCACGGCUAGAGUGUGUCAGAGGGGGGUAGAAUUCCACGUGUAGCAGUGAAAUGCGUAGAGAUGUGGAGGAAUACCGAUGGCGAAGGCAGCCCCCUGGGAAUAACACUGACGCUCAUGCACGAAAGCGUGGGGAGCAAACAGGAUUAGAUACCCUGGUAGUCCACGCCCUAAACGAUGUCAACUAGUUGUUGGGGAUUCAUUUCCUUAAGUAACGUAGCUAACGCGUGAAGUUG
This 521-nucleotide ribosomal RNA is filed under the name uncultured bacterium. RNAcentral describes it as "partial 16S ribosomal RNA". It matches the Rfam family "Bacterial small subunit ribosomal RNA", at positions 355 to 867 of the family's 1533-position model. The record is from RNAcentral.